RNAcentral lists this unclassified non-coding RNA (303 nucleotides) under fungal sp. RNAcentral describes it as "partial internal transcribed spacer region". The stretch from base 1 to 46 matches the Rfam family "Eukaryotic small subunit ribosomal RNA", at positions 1786 to 1831 of the family's 1831-position model. The record is from RNAcentral. Lineage: Eukaryota; Fungi.
AAGUCGUAACAAGGUUUCCGUAGGUGAACCUGCGGAAGGAUCAUUAACAUAUUCCAUUCACACGCGUCUUGGAGAAGGGUUAACGAAUUUCUCUCUCUCUCUCUCUUUCUAAGAAUAAGAAAGAGAGGGGAGGAGAAGGUUUUAUUCGGACACCCAUCUCUAUCUUAAGAGACACAUAUAUUUUUAACUUUUGACACAAAAACCUCGAGUUUCUCCUCUUGUUAAGAGAAGAAUCUUGUUUUUAUUUAACAACCUUUUUUGGUGUUUAAAAAACAACUUUUAACAAUGGAUCUCUUGGCUCUU